This is a long non-coding RNA of Olea europaea var. sylvestris, 606 nucleotides long. RefSeq lists it as uncharacterized. The record is from RefSeq and is a predicted model, not a curated record. The transcript has 4 exons. Lineage: Eukaryota; Viridiplantae; Streptophyta; Magnoliopsida; Lamiales; Oleaceae.
GACUUUUCUUUAUAUUUUUUAUUUCAGGUAUCUUAACAACAAUUAUUUUACUGGAGGCAUUCCAGCACAGCUUGCAAAUUUGACUAACUUAGAGAUCUUAUAUUUAUCCUACAACAAGAUGUCUGGAAUUGUACCACUUGGGCUUGCUCGUAUUCCUAGGUUGACUUACCUGUAUCUGGAUCACAACCAAUUAUCAGGGAGGAUUCCCGAUGCCUUUUACAAGCACCGGUUCUUAAAAGAAAUGUACAUUGAAGGAAAUUUAUUCCGGCCAGGUGUGAACCCAAUUGGCGUCCACCAAGUCCUAGAACUCUCCGACUCAGAGUUUCUAUUCUAGAUAAAAGAAUCAUCUCAAGUUUUGAUCUUUUAAUGGGAGGACCUAUUUAUUUAUUUAUUGCCGAAAGGAAUCCAUUAACCACGAUGUCACAAGAUCACAGUUUGAUAAUGAAAGCGUGGAUGAGUUCUUAGGCUUUUAAGUUGCAAGAACUGUAUAUAAGAUUCAAUUUUUUGUCUUUUAUAUUUUACUCACUGUUAAAGUUACCUUGUCUAAAAGUUACAAACAUGUUUGUUUAACACAGAUUUGUCUAAAAGUUUUAGCUAUUCUUCGAA